This 403-nucleotide ribosomal RNA is filed under the name uncultured Glomeromycotina. RNAcentral describes it as "SSU rRNA". It matches the Rfam family "Eukaryotic small subunit ribosomal RNA", at positions 680 to 1082 of the family's 1831-position model. The record is from RNAcentral. Lineage: Eukaryota; Fungi; Glomeromycota.
CUGGUGCUACUGAUUUCUCCCUUCUGAAGAACUAUCAUGCCAUUAAUUUGGUGUGGUAGGGAAUCAGGACUGUUACUUUGAAAAAAUUAGAGUGUUUAAAGCAGGCUCACGCUUGAAUACAUUAGCAUGGAAUAAUGAAAUAGGACGUUGAUCUUAUUUUGUUGGUUUCUAGGAUUGACGUAAUGAUUAAUAGGGAUAGUUGGGGGCAUUAGUAUUCAAUUGUCAGAGGUGAAAUUCUUGGAUUUAUUGAAGACUAACUACUGCGAAAGCAUUUGCCAAGGAUGUUUUCAUUAAUCAAGAACGAAAGUUAGGGGAUCGAAGACGAUCAGAUACCGUCGUAGUCUUAACCAUAAACUAUGCCGACUAGGGAUCGGAUGAUGUUAAUUUUUUAAUGACUCAUUCG